Electrophorus electricus (electric eel) is the source of this 438-nucleotide long non-coding RNA. Lineage: Eukaryota; Metazoa; Chordata; Actinopteri; Gymnotiformes; Gymnotidae. The record is from Ensembl.
GCUGAUGUGCUGACGCUGCCUGGUUUAUUGCCGCUGUGUCGGGCUCUUCCUGGCCGAGGCACCUGUCUGACCAGCGGCCUGCAGCACCUACUGGGGCAUGAGAUCAUCACCACCCCCCUCAUGGAGGAGCCACACCACAACAGUAAAUAUAAAAAGCGAGCUGGAGGCACGCAUGUGCACAGUGCUCAGAGUGAUGGUAGCUACAGACAGAGAGGGGCCUCCAGCUUCCACACCACAGGACUACAGCCCAGCAGACACAGAGUGUACACAGCCUACACCAAUACUGACCCAGAGACCAGAUGUCCGAGUCACAGUGGACCCAAACCUCCCCCUAUGUAAUAGAUGCUGAGGAAUGUUACUGUGGUCUGGGACAAAGAUGUUCUGUGAAGCUGUGGUCUGGAGGUGUAACUGAGAUGUGGGGUGGAACUGUGAUUUGGG